This 1065-nucleotide non-coding RNA is filed under the name Pongo abelii (Sumatran orangutan). Lineage: Eukaryota; Metazoa; Chordata; Mammalia; Primates; Hominidae. The record is from RNAcentral.
UCUGCGUGGCCACGGGCAGCACGAAUUGCAGCAUCUUACCCAUGUCGUUGCACGCGUUAUCCCGAGCCUCGUCCAUGCGCACUGCAUUCUCCGGGGCGGAGAACGCCUGGAUCACCUCCGCCAGGACCACUGCGCGCCAGAAGCAUCCCAGUGAGGCGUCCCGGGGAGGCGUCGGAGAACGGACAGCGGGCCCAGCGGAGAGCGCAGGGAAUUAGUGGAUUGAGGCUGUAGGUAACCCAAUAAGAUCCCGAGUCUUGGGGACAAGCGCCCCACUUAGAAGGACGGUAUCCGGCGUCCCCUACCCCAUUUUCCCGGCGGACGUAGCCAGGUUUGUUGCCCCACCACCGCCCGCAUCCUCCCCGGACCGGCAGCCCAUGCCUUGACUAGGAUAAUUCUCACCCUUCGCCUGCUCAGCGCUCAGGGCCGCCGGUUGGCUCGAGGCGGACGCCAUGAGGGAAGGUUCCGCGGAGACAAAUGGAAAGCUCAGGAAUAAAUAGAGCCACGUCCUACAACCGUCUCCAAAGCUAGUGGGGGCGGAGAGGAAGUACCAACCCGCGUAGCCGGAAAUCUCCAGGCGUGGCACAAAGCUUUCUACUCAAGAUUUACAACAGUAUUUAAAUAAAAAGAACCAUUCAUUACUGUAAAUUCCGUCCAGUAAACAUAUUUUUUCUACUGUUAAAAACAACCUAUAUUAAGUGGGGCUUUCCGAUAACAACCAGAAAGCCUGCUAGACAAAUUCUAAAAGAGCUGUAACACUAUCGGGGGUAUCUCUGGAAAGAAGGUGGGAUAUGCAUGAACUCCAUAAUUGGUGAGGGUGAGCUUAGGUGACGUUUUUCUUGUUCCUAAACUGUAUAAACAACGACGCAUGUUGUAACUUUCAGUAGGAAAAAUAAUAUUCCAAGGAACUUACUUAUGUCAUUCAUUUCUAGAGUUCGCGAACAUUUGCUCUCAGCCCAUGCAAAUGAGUUCGGUGCUGAUUGGUUGAGAAAGCAGCCAGUCACAGCCCCUUCGUUGUUGUUAAGCCCGGAGACUUGGAUUCGGCAGUAAAAGCCCUGAGCAAAAGCC